Long non-coding RNA from Carcharodon carcharias (great white shark), 618 nucleotides. RefSeq lists it as uncharacterized. The transcript is spliced from 3 exons. The record is from RefSeq and is a predicted model, not a curated record. Lineage: Eukaryota; Metazoa; Chordata; Chondrichthyes; Lamniformes; Lamnidae.
UCUCAAAUUGCUACAAGUACAAAAAAUGCUCUAAUGUCAUUUGAUGGGACACUUCAGAGUCAUUCUUCAAGUUCUGGUGGGCCCUCCAAUCUGCCAUCUUGUUCUUCUCGUUUUUAUUCAGCUAACUCCAAUGAACAAAAAACAAAUGGGGGUAAAGAUACUCUUCCAAAGAAGUUUAACUUGAAAAGCAGAAAAUCAAAUCCUUAACAAUAUGGAAAGAAACUUGCACUCCGUGGAUAGACGUUUCAUGAAGCGCAUCAGUGACUUCCUUAAAACCAAGUUUCAGUAAGUGUCUCGUGAUUUUGCAAGCUGUGAGGAAAUAGACAUAUUUGUCUGACCUACCAAGUCUUGAGGACGAAGCACCCCAAUUUGAAGCCAAGUCUGUGUUUGUGGUUUCACAAAAGUAACUUAUUCACAUUUUAUUUUUCAUGUCAGCUGUUAUUUGAAUAUUACUGCAUAUCUCCUUGUUUGCUAUACAGUGACUGAAAUUCAUUAAAGAAAGCAUUACAGAGCUUUCAGCAGCUAUUACCGCAAAUACCUCCAAGGACCCUGAUGGGUAUGCACAAAGUUUGAAAAUGUAAAUUUGUUUUAACACCCUUAAGAUGACUAUCUUCUCGC